GUUGUAUGGUUAAGUGACUAAGCGUACACGGUGGAUGCCUGGGCAGUCAGAGGCGAUGAAGGACGUACUAACUUGCGAUAAGCGCAGAUAAAGCAGUAAGAGCCGUUUGAGUCUGCGAUUUCCGAAUGAGAAAACCAACUGCAUAAGCAGUUACUGUUAACUGAAUACAUAGGUUAAGAGAGCAAACCGGGGAACUGAAACAUCUAAGUAUCCCGAGGAGAAGAAAUCAACCGAGAUUCCGGUAGUAGCGGCGAGCGAACCUGGAUUAGCCCUUAAGCACUCGGUGAAGUAGGUGAACAAGCUGGAAAGCUUGGCGAUACAGGGUGAUAGCCCGGAACCGACGCUUCAACGAGCGUGAAAUCGAGUAGGGCGGGACACGUGAUAUCCUGUCUGGAUAUGGGGACCAUCCUCCAAGGCUAAAUACUCCUGACUGACCGAUAGUGAACCAGUACCGUGAGGGAAAGGCGAAAAGAACCCUGUGAGGGGAGUGAAAUAGAACCUGAAACCGUGUACGUACAAGCAGUAGGAGCACCUUCGUGGUGUGACUGCGUACCUUUGUAUAAUGGGUCAGCGACUUAGAUUCAGUGGCAAGGUUAACCGUAUAGGGAGCUGUCGCGAAAGCGAGUCUUAACUGGGCGCUCAGUCUCUGGAUAUAAACCCGAAACCGGGUGAUCAAGCCAUAGGCAGGUUGAAGGUUGAGUAACAUCAACUGGAGGACCGAACCGACUAAUGCUGAAAAAUUAGCGGUUGACUUGUGGCUAGGGUGAAAGGCCAAUCAAACUCGGAGAUAGCUGGUUCUCCCCGAAAGCGAUUUAGGUAGCGCCUCGGACGAAUACUACUGGGGUAGAGCACUGUAAAGGCUAGGGUCAUCCCGUCUUACCAACCCUUUGCAAGGGCGAAUACCAGUAAGUACUAUCCGGGAGACACACGGCGGGUGCUAACGUCCGUCGUGGAGUGGGAAACAACUCAAAACGCCAGCUAAGGUCCCAAAGUAUUGCUAAGUGGGAAACGAUGUGGGGAGGCUCAGAUAGCUAGGAAAUUGGCUUAGAAGCAGCCAUCAUUUAAAGAAAGCGGAAUAGCUCACUAGUCGAGUCGGCCUGCACGGAAGAUGUAACGGGCUAAGCAAUACACCGAAGCUGCGGCAAUGUCUUUCGACAUUGGGUAGGGGAGCGUUCUGUAAGCCGUUGAAGGUGAAUCGUAAGGUUUGCUGGAGGUAUAAGAAGGGCGAAUGCUGACUUGAGUGACGACAAAGCGGAGAAAACCUCCUCGCCGGAAGACCAAGGGUUCCUGUCCAACGUUAAUCGGGCAGGGUGAGUCGACCCUAAGGUGAGGCCGAAAGGCGUAAUCGAUGGGAAACGGGUUAAUAUUCCCGGACUUCUGACUAUUGCGAUGGGGACGGAGAAGGCUAGGUGGGCCAGGCGACGGUUGUCCUGGUUCAAGUGCGUAGGCUUGAGAGUUAGGUAAAUCCGGCUCUCUAAGUCUGAGACACGACGUCGAGCUACUACGGUAGUGAUGUCAUUAAUGCCAUGCUUCCAAGAAAGCCUCUAAGCUUUAGAUAGUUAGGAAUCGUACCCCAAACCGACACAGGUGGUCGGGUAGAGAAUACCAAGGCGCUUGAGAGAACUCGGGUGAAGGAACUAGGCAAAAUGGUACCGUAACUUCGGGAGAAGGUACGCUCUUGAUGGUGAAGUCCCUCGCGGAUGGAGCUGACGAGAGUCGCAGAUACCAGGUGGCUGCAACUGUUUAUUAAAACACAGCACUGUGCAAAAUCGCAAGAUGACGUAUACGGUGUGACGCCGGCCCGGUGCCGGAAGGUUAAUUGAUGGGGUUAGCGCAAGCGAAGCUCUUGAUCGAAGCCCCGGUAAACGGCGGCCGUAACUAUAACGGUCCUAAGGUAGCGAAAUUCCUUGUCGGGUAAGUUCCGACCUGCACGAAUGGCGUAAUGAUGGCCACGCUGUCUCCACCCGAGACUCAAUGAAAUUGAAAUCGCUGUGAAGAUGCAGUGUACCCGCGGCUUGACGGAAAGACCCCGUGAACCUUUACUACAGCUUGGCACUGAACAUUGAACCUACAUGUAGGAUAGGUGGGAGGCUAUGAACACGUGACGCCAGUUGCGUUGGAGCCGUCCUUGAAAUACCACCCUUGUAUGUUUAAUGUUCUAACUUAGACCCAUUAUCUGGGUUGAGGACAGUGCCUGGUGGGUAGUUUGACUGGGGCGGUCUCCUCCCAAAGAGUAACGGAGGAGCACGAAGGUGGGCUAAUCACGGUUGGACAUCGUGAGGUUAGUGCAAUGGCAUAAGCCCGCUUAACUGCGAGAAUGACGGUUCGAGCAGGUGCGAAAGCAGGUCAUAGUGAUCCGGUGGUUCUAUAUGGAAGGGCCAUCGCUCAACGGAUAAAAGGUACGCAGGGAUAAAAGGCUGAUACCGCCCAAGAGUUCAUAUCGACGGCGGUGUUUGGCACCUCGAUGUCGGCUCAUCACAUCCUGGGGCUGAAGUCGGUCCAAAGGGUAUGGCUGUUCGCCAUUUAAAGUGGUACGCGAGCUGGGUUUAGAACGUCGUGAGACAGUUCGGUCCCAAUCUGCCGUGGGCGUUGGAAGAUUGAAGGGGCUGCUCUUUGUACGAGAGGACUGGAGUGGACGAACCUCUGGUGUUCGGGUUGUGUCGCCAGACGCAUUGCCCGGUAGCUAAGUUCGGAAUUGAUAAGCGCUGAAAGCAUCUAAGCGCGAAGCGAGCCCUGAGAUGAGUCUUCCUGAUACUUUAUGAAUCCUAAAGGGUUGUUCUAGACUAAAACGUUGAUAGGCAGGGUGUGUAAGCGUUGUGAGGCGUUGAGCUAACCUGUACUAAUUGCCCGUGAGGAUUAACCAUACAACACCCACGG
This 2877-nucleotide ribosomal RNA is filed under the name Vibrio cholerae. RNAcentral describes it as "23S ribosomal RNA". It matches the Rfam family "Bacterial large subunit ribosomal RNA". Lineage: Bacteria; Pseudomonadati; Pseudomonadota; Gammaproteobacteria; Vibrionales; Vibrionaceae. The record is from RNAcentral.